GUUUAGGAGUGCCAACACUGCCAACACUAGUCACUGAUGGAGUAGAAGGCCUUGGAUUAGUGCGUUGAGAACCUCGCUCUUUGCCCGAAUACCCAAUGGCUGAAGUAGAACGAUCCUGAUAUUUCUUCAAUUUCUUUGAAGCAGAAAACUGGGAUUUUCCCAUCGGUCUUUUACUAAAAAUUUGAGCUUCCCUCUCAGCCUGUUUCUUUUCUUUGCUCAAUUCUUCUGCUUUAUAAGCUCUCUCUGCCAAUGUAGCAAACUCUCGAAUUUCAAGAAUUCC
RNAcentral lists this long non-coding RNA (280 nucleotides) under Gossypium barbadense (sea-island cotton). Its description in RNAcentral is "long non-coding RNA (GBAR_LNC011882)". Lineage: Eukaryota; Viridiplantae; Streptophyta; Magnoliopsida; Malvales; Malvaceae. The record is from RNAcentral.